This is an RNA transcript of Malus domestica (apple), 1348 nucleotides long. It is a transcript of the gene named sterol 3-beta-glucosyltransferase UGT80A2-like, with no coding region annotated. NCBI's taxonomy places the organism in Eukaryota, Viridiplantae, Streptophyta, Magnoliopsida, Rosales, Rosaceae. The record is from RefSeq and is a predicted model, not a curated record.
CCUCAUGCCUCCAACAUUUCAGAAACGUUUUUAAUUUUUUUGAGAAAUCCCCUUUAAGUUAACCCUAGCAGCCACACCUUUUAUUCAUUCCCCUCUUCUCUCUCUCGUUCCCUUCCCUGCCUCCAGUGUAACCCUAACUAACCCAGUAACAUUCUCGCGCAGCCGAGCCUCUUCUCUGUCUUUCUCAAACUCUCUGUCUCUCUUGGUCUUGAAUCCCAGGCGACCCGCGACGGCGUGACCCUUCUCACUCUCAAUCUCUCACAGUGAAGCAGCUUCUGGUGGAGAAGCUGGCAGCGAGACGGAAACUGAAGUUCAAGAUAUACCUCCUCUGCAAAUUGUAAUGCUUAUCGUCGGCACACGAGGAGAUGUGCAGCCGUUUGUUGCCAUUGGAAAGCGAUUGCAGGAAUAUGGCCAUAGGGUUAGGCUAGCAACUCAUGCAAAUUUCAAAGAUUUUGUCCUUACUGCUGGGUUGGAGUUCUAUCCUUUAGGUGGAGAUCCAAAGGUUCUUGCUGGUUAUAUGGUCAAGAAUAAAGGUUUUUUGCCAUCAGGACCUUCGGAAAUUCGCCGUGUGCUUCGGCGACCUCGAACAAGUGAAGGCGAUGAUCCUGAUCCAAGUGGAGCUCACCAACAUGGACCUCAAAUCCAUCUCCUCCAGGUCCUUGCCCGACCCGCAUACCCUCCGAAAGUCCUCUCACCUCCUCGGCCCCAAAGUCCUCCAGGUAUUGACUCCUCUCCGUAAUUUCUCUCGUGAAUUUUAUGGUGGGUGCUGAAAUGGAUUGCUGUGAUUCAACUGAUGAUGGAAGGAGGUUUUAUGUGGAAUUAAAGACAAGCCAUGAGUUGGACAACCAUAAGAUAGAGUACGAGUUUGAGAAAGAAAAGCUCCUCAAAUUUUGGGUACAUUACUGUUUUAAAGACAAGCCAUGAGAUAAAAGCUUAAGUUGGUGGAUAUGAAAAUAGUUCAAUUGGUGGAAGAUUGUUCAAGGACUCUCUAUUGACGAGUUCUCGAGGAAGAAGUUGGAUGCAACUGCAGAGGAGCUCAGUGAGGAGAAAGCUUUGGCAUACUCUUGCCUCUCUUAGAUGCUCUUGGCCUUUCCUUGGUGUGGUUGUAAGUUGGCCUCCCUGCAAUGUGUGAGAAAAGCAGCUGAAGUUUUGAAUAAUGCCAUUGUUAAGAUAGAUAUGUUAAUGAUGCAGAAGCUGCUUCUGUGGGUUUUACAGUUGUUGAGCCCAAUAUUCUAUUCGGACACUUCGAAUUUUUUCUUCUUUUAGUUGCAUAUUUGAAUGGGAUUGUCCCAUUGACGUAAAAUAAUCCAUAUCUGCCUUGAUUCUAAUUUGUUAGUUCUUGUGCUUA